AGCAGUGAGGAAUAUUGGUCAAUGGAGGCAACUCUGAACCAGCCAUGCCGCGUGAAGGAAGAAUGUCCUACGGAUUGUAAACUUCUUUUAUUUGGGAAGAACUCCCUCUACGUGUAGAGGGCUGACGGUACCAAACGAAUAAGGACCGGCUAACUCCGUGCCAGCAGCCGCGGUAAUACGGAGGGUCCAAGCGUUAUCCGGAAUCAUUGGGUUUAAAGGGUUCGCAGGCGGUUUAUUAAGUCAGUGGUGAAAGCCUACAGCUCAACUGUAGAACUGCCAUUGAUACUGAUAGACUUGAAUUUAGUUGAAGUAGGCGGAAUGUGUAGUGUAGCGGUGAAAUGCUUAGAUAUUACACAGAACACCGAUAGCGAAGGCAGCUUACUAAACUACGAUUGACGCUCAUGAACGAAAGCGUGGGGAGCGAACAGGAUUAGAUACCCUGGUAGUCCACGCAGUAAACGUGAUUACUCGUUAUUGGCGAUAUACGGUCAGUGACUAAGCGAAAGUGA
This 509-nucleotide ribosomal RNA is filed under the name uncultured bacterium. RNAcentral's name for it is "bacterial SSU rRNA". It matches the Rfam family "Bacterial small subunit ribosomal RNA", at positions 350 to 860 of the family's 1533-position model. The record is from RNAcentral.